This is a long non-coding RNA of Papaver somniferum (opium poppy), 1125 nucleotides long. RefSeq lists it as uncharacterized. Lineage: Eukaryota; Viridiplantae; Streptophyta; Magnoliopsida; Ranunculales; Papaveraceae. The transcript has 3 exons. The record is from RefSeq and is a predicted model, not a curated record.
AGUUUUGGCGCGAAGUUUCCCACCAAAAAUUUUACCCAACUUGCUUUUCCUUCCAGCCGCGUCUUAGAACUCAAACCCUUACCCUGCCGUCCACUAACUAUUCUCUCUCUCCAACUUUCUGAAACUUCACCCAAUUUUAUCUCAUAUCAUAUCUAUCUCCAAAUAUUAGGUCUCAUCUAUUCAUAUCACGGCAAACAAUCACAAAUUGAUGAAAUUAAUGGGGCAGUUGAGAUGGAAUUGGAGGUGAAUUAAGGUGCUGGGAUGUAGUACUACCUGAUGCACUUGGGCUAAUCUUUAAGAAACUAUCUCUGCAAGAUAUUCUGAUUGUUGGCAAAGUUGUUGUUGGACCUUACUUUUGAGGAUUGUAGUCGCUUGUAAUCUCAGGACAAAAUUAAUCAAGUGAUUGAAAUGCUCAUUUGAAGCUAUGAUUUUGAUUGUUGGCAAAGUUAUUGUUAUACGUACACUAUAGGACUUUACUGAAAUUACAGUGUUAUGUGCGGAAUAAGGCUUAUCCCGGAGGCGCGAUGGCAAAAGGGCAAAUCAUUGAAGAAUCUCUUGUAUUGAUUGAGCGCCAUAUGAAUACUGCAAAGUUUAAUCAAUUUGAUUUCAAUCAGAUGUUAAUAAGUUGUCUUUUUCAGGAUCUGUGAAUAUUCUCUACUUGUUCUUUUUCCUUAUGUACAGUUGUAAGAAUGUUCUCAUGCACAUGUGAUUUGCUUAAUUUUCUUAUGGCAGUAUACAGUGAGCACAAAGCUAUGCUUGAAGACACUAGCCACGCAUAUAGAAAACACACCCAAGAAUUUCGUAGAUGGUUUGAACAUAAACAACGCAGGAUAUGUAUUCAAUGGAAAAUGUACAACGUGAACCGCAACAGGAUGAUGAUGACAAUUAUGUUUGGCGUAGGACUGAUGUUCCUGAAGAAACCAUCUAUGUUGUGCCAAAACACGGUCGAGGGAAAGUUGUCGAUCAAGAUUAUGCUUAUAUUUGAAGUCUGACAAUGAGAUGGACUCUGAUUAAUUUUAGUUUGUUUUCUUUCACACUGCCGUGAAACUGUAAAAUAAGCUUAGCUUUGUAAAAGAAAUUGGUAUCUUUUUUUUUAAUAAACAAAAGAAGACUGAUAUCGUUAAA